GCCGGGCGUGGUGGUGCGUGCCUGUAGUCCCAGCUACUCGGAGGCUGAGGCAGGAGAAUGGCGUGAACCCAGGAGGCGGAGCUUGCAGUGAGCUGAGAUGGUGCCACUGCACUCCAGCCUGGGUGACAAAGCAAGAUUCCGUCUCAA
RNAcentral lists this small RNA (147 nucleotides) under Macaca mulatta (Rhesus monkey). RNAcentral's name for it is "Metazoan signal recognition particle RNA (ENSMMUG00000058844.1)". The record is from Rfam by way of RNAcentral. Lineage: Eukaryota; Metazoa; Chordata; Mammalia; Primates; Cercopithecidae.